UAUGUAACAGGGCUCAAAAACUCUCGGUUUUCCUUAAAAUACAUUUCUAUUUUAGCAAUGCGAAAUCAUCAUUGAUAACGCUGCAAUUCAAUUUGCAUACUUGCAAUGUUACCCGUGCAUGAGAAUAUUGCCGUAAUUCGCAAAUUCUUGCGAAAGAGCAUCAAUCUACCUUUUGGUACUAUUUUUAAAAAUCUCUCUCACAACCACACCGACAUAUCGAGAUAUCACUACUAGAGUUGUUAAGAAAGAAAGAAAGAAAAAAAAAGAAGAAUCUUUUCUCGCUCGUUAAUUUCCUUCCUCGCAAUGCGAAACAGAUAAUCUCGAGCCACUCGGUAAAUUUCAAUUUCGAAGAUAACAAUAAUAUACUGUGGAAACGGAAACUCCUGUUAUCGUUACGAAUGCAGUUGCGUAUAUUAAAUAUACGCUUGCCAGACAAUUUUCUUUUUAAAAACAUCGCUCGAUCUCUUCCACGACGGUAGCUACCAAAUCAAUCGAUGCGCACACACGUACUUGUAAACCUUUCAAGGAUCCUUUAAUCGUUGCCAAUUUAUCCGUUUAUCGUUCGAUCCCUACCAAUAAAAUUGCACAUUAGAAU
Molecule: long non-coding RNA, 595 nt
Organism: Frieseomelitta varia
Lineage: Eukaryota; Metazoa; Arthropoda; Insecta; Hymenoptera; Apidae
Exons: 2
Source: RefSeq, a predicted model, not a curated record